This 407-nucleotide ribosomal RNA is filed under the name uncultured bacterium. Its description in RNAcentral is "partial 16S ribosomal RNA". It matches the Rfam family "Bacterial small subunit ribosomal RNA", at positions 28 to 526 of the family's 1533-position model. The record is from RNAcentral.
GACGAACGCUGGCGGCGUGCCUAACACAUGCAAGUCGAACGAAGUGGAGAACGGGUGAGUAACGCGUAAACAAGCUGCCCUUCAGGGGGGGACAACAGGUGGAAACGACUGCUAAUACCGCAUACUGAAGGUGGAGAUUGCGUCGGCUUAGCUCGUUGGGGGGGUACCGGCCCACCUAGGCGACGAUCCCUAGCUGGUCUGAGAGGAUGAUCAGCCACACUGGGACUGAGACACGGCCCAGACUCCUACGGGAGGCAGCAGUGGGGAAUAUUGCACAAUGGGCGCAAGCCUGAUGCAGCAAUGCCGCGUGUAUGAAGAAGGCCCUAGGGUUGUAAAGUACUUUCAGUCGGGAGCGUUACCGACAGAAGAAGCACCGGCUAACUCCGUGCCAGCAGCCGCGGUAAUUC